Molecule: signal recognition particle RNA, 264 nt
Filed under: Candidatus Limadaptatus stercorigallinarum
Lineage: Bacteria; Bacillati; Bacillota; Clostridia; Eubacteriales
Description: signal recognition particle sRNA large type
Rfam family: Bacterial large signal recognition particle RNA
About the family: The signal recognition particle (SRP) is a universally conserved ribonucleoprotein involved in the co-translational targeting of proteins to membranes. Archaeal SRP consists of a 7S RNA and homologues of the eukaryotic SRP19 and SRP54 proteins.
Source: RNAcentral
CUGCGCUAGACGGGGAGCCGGCGGUGCCCUGUAAACUGCAAUCCGCCACAGCAGUGUCGAGCGCCGACCGAGGCUUUUCUUAUGGGAGGCCGCGCCGCACAAGGAGCGUUGAUAGCAAGGUCCCGUGCAACUGCAUACUGUGAACCGUGUCAGGGCUUGACCGCAGCAGCACUAAGCAGAACUUGCAGUGUGCCACGGGGAAACUUUGAAGGAGCCACCUAUGCGGUUUCCGCUUCGGUUUGAACUGUCGGAGUCGGUGCGCAG